RNAcentral lists this long non-coding RNA (983 nucleotides) under Capsella grandiflora. Its description in RNAcentral is "long non-coding RNA (CGRA_LNC000230)". The record is from RNAcentral. Lineage: Eukaryota; Viridiplantae; Streptophyta; Magnoliopsida; Brassicales; Brassicaceae.
GCAAUCUAUUUAACCUAGGCCACAACUUCAUUCCUUCCACAGGCUCAAUACCACGCUCAUAGGUUUGCAGCCAACUUCGAGUUGUAAAAUACUCAUAAACAUAAUCAUGAACCUUCUCUUUUUUGCCAAUGAUAACACAAGCAACAUGAUUGCAAGGAAUACCAUUCAACUGCCAUUUCCCACAGCCUCAUUUCCACACGAUAAUAACAAUUGUGCAACUCUACCUCAUGCCUAUCACCCGUAGACAUGUAUCUUAUGCAUUCUCUAGACUUCUCUAUAGCAGAUUCAAUCUCAGCAUGUGCAUUCUUUGUGAACCUUUCCUUUCUCCUAUUUGCAAUAAUCGACCUCUUAGCAGUACGAACCAUACACUGUCUUCUAACAUCUUCUAACAGGUCAAGUAAGGGUUUUUUCCUAGCUUGACGAAUGGUCUUAUUGAAAGAUUCAUUCAGAUUAUUUAAAUUAUCAUUGCAACACGAACCAACCUUAAAGUAGGCCCGAGACCAGGGAGGAGGGUUGGUUUUUAGAAGAGAAUCAUAAGCUCCUUGACUGUAUUUCUUCAAAGCUUCCAAAUUAUCUGCAUAAUCUCCUUUGGUGUAGCUCCUAACUAUUUUCCAGAAUAACCGCUCUAGCUCUAUAUCAUGAUUUGUCUCUCUUCCAAUUUCCUAGAAUGUGUCUAUGUUCAGCUUCUGGAAGUUGAUUAUGCACAGCUUUCACCAAACCCUUCAAAAAAAAUGAAACAUUACAAGUAAUCAAAACAUAAAACUGAGCUCAAAUCCUAAAACCUUAAAAUAGAUACCUUUUGCUUAUCAGAUAUGAAAGUGUAGUCUCUUCCCUCACCAAGUCCUAAGUCUCUUUUGAGAUGAUUUACAAACCAAUCCCAAUUCUUCACAUCAUUCUCUAUCUCCACAACAGCCCAUGCGAUGGGAACAAUUAUGUUGUCUGCAUCUCUUCCUACAGCAGCUAACAACUGUCCUUUGAUAUCC